GAUGAAGAACGUAGCGAAAUGCGAUAAGUAAUGUGAAUUGCAGAAUUCAGUGAAUCAUCGAGUCUUUGAACGCUCAUUGCGCCCCCUGGUAUUCCGGGGGGCAUGCCUGUCCGAGCGUCAUUGCUGCCCUCAAGCACGGCUUGUGUGUUGGGCCCCCGUCCCCGGUUUCCCCCGGGGACGGGCCCGAAAGGCAGCGGCGGCACCGCGUCCGGUCCUCGAGCGUAUGGGGCUUUGUCACCCGCUCUGUAGGCCCGGCCGGCGCCAGCCGACACCCAACUUUAUUUCUAAGGUUGACCUCGGAUCAGGUAGGGAUACCCGCUGAACUUAAGCAUAUCAAUAAGCGGAGGA
Molecule: unclassified non-coding RNA, 348 nt
Filed under: soil metagenome
Description: partial contains 5.8S ribosomal RNA, internal transcribed spacer 2, and large subunit ribosomal RNA
Rfam family: 5.8S ribosomal RNA (bases 1-120)
Source: RNAcentral